RNAcentral lists this ribosomal RNA (252 nucleotides) under uncultured bacterium. RNAcentral's name for it is "partial 16S ribosomal RNA". It matches the Rfam family "Bacterial small subunit ribosomal RNA", at positions 524 to 776 of the family's 1533-position model. The record is from RNAcentral.
UACGUAGGUCCCGAGCGUUGUCCGAAUUUAUUGGGCGUAAAGCGAGCGCAGGUGGUUUAUUAAGUCUGGUGUAAAAGGCAGUGGCUCAACCAUUGUAUGCAUUGGAAACUGGUAGACUUGAGUGCAGGAGAGGAGAGUGGAAUUCCAUGUGUAGCGGUGAAAUGCGUAGAUAUACGGAGGAACACCGGUGGCGAAAGCGGCUCUCUGGCCUGUAACUGACACUGAGGCUCGAAAGCGUGGGGAGCAAACAGG